AAUCUGGCUCUGAGUGUUUACCUGCGAUUAUAUGAUAAGUGAUGAAACUUGCCUGUCACAUCCACAAAGGCUCUGGCUUUCAUUGUCUCAUGAUUCCUGGCCGCUUUUGUAUGAGUCACAGUGAGUCAUGUUGAGUGCUCUGACUGUAACACAAGAGGGAGGGGGGUGAUGAGGUGCCGUGGAAAAUGGCUAUUAGAGUCUAAACAGCUAAAGAAGUGCAGAUUUGGAAAUCAGAAGUGGAAAUAUAAGACUUGAGUCUGGAUGGCUGCUUGUUGAUCCGCAGGUUUUUUAAGUUCCUCUCUGCAGUGUCUGUUUUGUUUCUAUUUCGGGGCUUGAUUUUUAGCUUGUUUCAGUAUUUCACCACCACAUCUGUGGAUUUCCUCAUCUUUUCCGGGUCAGACUGAUGAACGUGUGGUCCUUUCACUGGCAGGUCGUCUGAAAGUAAUCGCCUUGGCGUCCGCGGUGGGCGUGUCUGCAGGACUCAUCACUCUGACAGUGGCCAUCAUGAUCAGUAAGAACAUGCACAGAGUGGACACUGAAACAGCUGAAGAUCCUAGCAAGGUGUGUCUGUUGUUUUGCAGAAAUUUGUAGAAUAAUCUGCUCUAAAAGGCAUAUAAUGAGUCUUCAUUAAGAGUUAUUGCUGACCCCUACUUAAUCUUGAUCACAUUUGGUUUUUUGCUUGUGACCCCUGCAGCGUUUACAGUGACAACCGACAGCAGCAUGUUCCAUGAGUCAGCCGAGCAAACGUUUCCAGUUAGAAAGAGCAAGAUGUCAGACAUACCAGAGGAACCUGAGGAAUUGAGUGACAGCUCUCAUCCUGCCAUCGUUCCUUUGAUAGAUGCUCCACCAAUCACUGAAGCCGAAGGCCGCAGUUCUGCCUCCAACUGCAUCUCUGUUCAGUACUCCAGGCUGUCCAGUAUGGAUCAAGUGCAGGUGCACAAUCUGCCUCUGACUUGUACAAAAAAGCCAAAGGAUUCCUCCAGAGUUGCUUAUACUUUACUUCCUGGGCCUCACCGCUGACCAGGAGAUAACAACCUUGAAAGUAAACACCUCAUGGAUCCAAUGUCAAACAAACCGGCUUCUUCUCUCUCCAUCCUCCUGUGACACAGAAAAACUUUCCUCUAUUCUGAGGAGUGAGAGUCCAACUCUCUUAGAAUGCAGCACAUGGACCAGUAUUUGAAUAAAACUCAUGAAUAACGUUGCAUGUCUUUCCCUUUUGGGUUUGAUACAUCCCUCAAGACUGCCUGAUACAACGAGAACCUAAAAUCAUAUUAAAGGACAGUUUUUUUUCUUUUCUUUGAACAGGUGUGAUGAAAUUCACUGUAAAUGUUUUUAUGAUUUCUUCUGUUCCAUCCCCCUAUAUGCUUUCCCUGGUUGCUAGAUUAAACCCUUUGCAUCGUUGGACUAUAAAAAAUGCUGGAUUUGUAUGAAAUUAAAACUCAAUUAACACAACUGCACAAAAAUAUAACCUGCAAGUGGAUCUACAGUAUAUGAAAUGAAAUGCAGCCUGCAUUGUGCUUGUUACAACUAAAUAUUCCACAUUAGUCAUUCAAUGACUGCAGCCCAUUUUAUGAAAACAUGCAUUCCAUAUUAUAGAUUGUUACAAUAAAGAAAUAUGGAAAGAAGCAAAUUCACAUGACUUUGUCUGCUGUCUAAUAUGAUGAGCUCAUUUCACAUGAUGCACAAUUUUUAUUUUAAUAUCAAC
This is a long non-coding RNA of Oryzias javanicus (javanese ricefish), 1705 nucleotides long. NCBI's taxonomy places the organism in Eukaryota, Metazoa, Chordata, Actinopteri, Beloniformes, Adrianichthyidae. The record is from Ensembl.